RNAcentral lists this ribosomal RNA (381 nucleotides) under uncultured bacterium. RNAcentral describes it as "bacterial SSU rRNA". It matches the Rfam family "Bacterial small subunit ribosomal RNA", at positions 524 to 903 of the family's 1533-position model. The record is from RNAcentral.
UACGGAGGGUGCAAGCGUUAAUCGGAAUUACUGGGCGUAAAGCGUGCGUAGGCGGUGAGUGAAGUCUGCUGUGAAAUCCCUGGGCUCAACCUGGGAAUGGCGGUGGAUACUGGCUUGCUAGAGUACGGUAGGGGAAGGUGGAAUUCCCGGUGUAGCGGUGAGAUGCGUAGAGAUCGGGAGGAACAUCAGUGGCGAAGGCGACCUUCUGGACCAGUACUGACGCUGAGGCACGAAAGCGUGGGGAGCAAACAGGAUUAGAUACCCUGGUAGUCCACGCCCUAAACGAUGCGAACUGGAGGUUGGGUGCGACUUGGCACGCAGUCUCGAAGCUAACGCGUUAAGUUCGCCGCCUGGGGAGUACGGUCGCAAGACUGAAACUCA